AUUGAACGCUGGCGGCAGGCCUAACACAUGCAAGUCGAGCGGCAGCGGGACCUUCGGGUUGCCGGCGAACGGCGGACGGGUGAGUAAUGCCUAGGAAUCUGCCUGUUAGUGGGGGAUAACGCGGGGAAACUCGCGCUAAUACCGCAUACGUCCUACGGGAGAAAGCGGGGGCUCUUCGGACCUCGCGCUAACAGAUGAGCCUAGGUCGGAUUAGCUAGUUGGUGGGGUAAUGGCCCACCAAGGCGACGAUCCGUAACUGGUCUGAGAGGAUGAUCAGUCACACUGGAACUGAGACACGGUCCAGACUCCUACGGGAGGCAGCAGUGGGGAAUAUUGGACAAUGGGCGAAAGCCUGAUCCAGCCAUGCCGCGUGUGUGAAGAAGGUCUUCGGAUUGUAAAGCACUUUAAGUCGGGAGGAAGGGCUGUAGGCUAAUACCUUGCAGUUUUGACGUUACCGACAGAAUAAGCACCGGCUAACUUCGUGCCAGCCGCCGCCGUAA
RNAcentral lists this ribosomal RNA (500 nucleotides) under uncultured bacterium. Its description in RNAcentral is "partial 16S ribosomal RNA". It matches the Rfam family "Bacterial small subunit ribosomal RNA", at positions 30 to 523 of the family's 1533-position model. The record is from RNAcentral.